AACAUUUAGCAACGGAUCACUUGGCUCUCGCAUCGAUGAAGAACGCAGCGAAAUGCGAUAAGUUAUGUGAAUUGCAGAAUUCAGUGAAACAUCGAAUCUUUGAACGCACCUUGCGCCCUCUGGCUAUUCCAGAGGGCAUGCCUGUUUGAGUAUCAUGAACACCUCAACUCUCAUGGUUUUUCCGUGAUGAGCUUGGACUUUGGAGGUCUUGCUGGCCUGUGGGUCGGCUCCUCUCAAAUGAAUCAGCUUGCCAGUGUUUGGUGGCAUCACGGGUGUGAUAACUAUCUACGCUUGUGGUUUUCCACCAGGUAACCUUCAGUGAUGGAGGUUCGCUGGAGCUCAUAAAUGUCUCUCCUCAGCGAGGACGGCUUCUCGAAUGUUUGAUCUCAAAUCAGGUAGGGCUACCCGCUGAACUUAAGCAUAUCAAUAAGCGGAGGCU
RNAcentral lists this unclassified non-coding RNA (439 nucleotides) under uncultured Tomentella. RNAcentral describes it as "sequence contains ITS2". The stretch from base 1 to 155 matches the Rfam family "5.8S ribosomal RNA". The record is from RNAcentral. Lineage: Eukaryota; Fungi; Basidiomycota; Agaricomycetes; Thelephorales; Thelephoraceae.